GGGAAACGGAAAGCCUCUGCCCCUUCCUAAACUCGCGUCCGACGACGGCGAAGGGCCGACGGCGACGACGGCUUCAGGGGCCGAUUCAGGUGAGUCUUUUCUUUUCUCUUUUUUGAUUUUUUAAUUACUUUAAAAUAGAUUUGCAAAGAAAAAAUAAAACAAAAUAAGAUAAAAAAAAUAAAUAAAAAACAAGAAGAAAUAGUGAGGAUUCAACCUUUUAAAAUUUCUAUAUCGCUUUUGAUUUCUGAUGUGGGUUUUUACAAAGAAAAAUCCCCCAAAAUACAGUGAUGAAGCCCCCCCUUUUACAUUGUUUUUCAAGGCUUAUAAAGCCGAAAAUCAACCCAUUCUCUGCCCCUUUUGCUGCUUCUAUUCCCCUUUUUUAUGUUGCUUGCAGGUACUUGACGAAGGCAGAGGCGUGGCUUGCCGUUUUGGUGCUAGGCGGUGGCUAGGGUGUCAGGUAAGCCUCGGGACGAGGCACAGAUGGUACGCCCGAGGGAGUAGCGCACAUGGGCCCCAAUGGGCCGUUUUAAAUUUUGGGCCUUGGGCUAUUGGGUAUUUGUUUUUGUAAUUGGGCCUCGAGUUAAUAUUUUUGGCACUAGGCCCGGGUAAAAUUGGGUCUGUACAGCUGCCCCUCUUUGCUUGUUGUCGUGUAACGAGAACAGAGCAAAGAUUAAGAAAGACCAAUUUUGCCCGGUCUCACCGAGUCUUGACUUCUUGGUGCUUCUCUUCUUCAAAUAACUUCGUUCCAGUCUACUGUGUCUUGUUGCUUCGAUCCACUCCUCUGUGUCUUGUUGCUUCGAUCCACUCCACUGCACUUCAGAGAGUUCUGACUUGUAGCUUCAAUAUUCUUUGUAGCAACUUCAGGGGGACGAUGUUUGUGUUUUUUCUGUCUGCUCCGCUACUGCUUAGGGAGAUAAGACUUGAUGCGAUCUGCUCCACUACUGCUUAGGGAGAUAGGACUCGUGGCUUAAAUCUGCUUCACUACUGCUUAGGAAGAUAAGAUUCGCCGUCUUCGAUCUGCUCCACUACUGCUUAGGGAGAUAGGAUCUAAUAUCUUUGACCUGCUCCACUACUGCUUAAGGAGAUAGGACUGGUGGCUUAAAUCUGCUUCACUUCUGCUUAGGAAGAUGAGAUUCGCCGUCUUCGAUCUGCUCUACUACUGCUUAAGGAGAUAGGAUCUAAUAUCUUUGACCUGCUCCACUACUGCUUAGGGAGACAAGAUCUAACAUCUUUGACCUGCUCCACUACUGCUUAGGGAGAUAGGACUGGUGGCUUAAAUCUGCUUCACUACUGCUUAGGAAGAUGAGAUUUGCCAUUUUCGAUCUGUUCCACUACUGCUUAGGGAGAUAAGAUCUACCAUUUUAAUCCGCUCCACUGCAACUUUAGGGAGAUAGGAUUGGUUUCUUCUGUCUGCUCUACUACUGCUUAGGGAGAUAAGACUUGGUGCGAUCUGCUCCACUACUGCUUAGGGAGAUAGGAUCUACCAUAUUUGACCUGCUCCACUACUGCUUAGGGAGAUAGGACUGGUGGCUUAAAUCUGCUGCACUACUGCUUAGGAAGAUGAGAUUUGCCAUUUUCGAUCUGCUCCACUACUGCUUAGGGAGAUAAGAUCUACCAUCUUCGACCUGCUCCACUGUAACCUCAGGGAGAUAAGAUCUGAAAUUCUUCGGUUGACUCCACUGUAACCUUAGGGAGAUAAGAUUUGUUGCGAUCUACUCUACUGUAACUUCAGAGAGAUGAGAUCCUUUAUUUUAAUCCGCUCCACUGUAACUUCAGGGAGAUAGGAUUACUAGCUCCAAUCUGCUCCACUGUAACCUCAGGGAGAUAAGAUCUGAAAUUCUUCAGUCCACUCCACUGUAACCUCAGGGAGAUAAGACUUGCAUAUUCAAACUGCCCCACUGUAACUUCAGGGAGAUAAGGUUUGUGGCUUCGAUCUGCUCCUCUGUAAUCUCAGGGAGAUAAGAUCUCUGGCUUCAAUCUGCUCCACUGUAACCUCAGGGAGAUAAGAAUUGAAAUUCUUCGGUCUACUCCACUGUAAUCUCAGGGAGAUAAGACCUAAAAUUCUUCGGUCUACUCCACUGUAACCUCAGGGAGAUAAGACUUGCAUAUUCAACCUGCCCUACUGUAACUUCAGGGAGAUAAGGUUCGUGGCUUCGAUCUGCUCCUCUAUAAUCUCAGGGAGAUAAGAUCUGAAAUUCUUCGGUCUACUCCACUGUAAUCUCAGGGAGAUAAGACUUGCAUAUUCAACCUGCCCCACUGUAACUUCAGGGAGAUAAGGUUUGUAGCUUCGAUCUGCUCUUCUGUAACUUCAGAGAGAUAUGAUCCUUUAUUUUAAUCCGCUCCACUAUAACUUCAGGGAGAUAGGAUAGUGUCUUCGAUCUGCUCCGCUGUAAUCUCAGGGAGAUAAGAUCUCUGGCUCUUUGAUCUGCUUCACUGUCGAUGCAGGAAGACAAGAUCUAUCAUAUUUGCUUAUCCGUUCUCUGGGGAACAUGACCUGCAUAAUGAACCUAAUUAUGCCUAAUGAUUAGGAUGGCAUGAUCAAAAUGAAUCAAAUGCUCCUAACUAGACAUGUGUGAAUGGUGUUUGCAUGAAUGCAAAAUUUUAUUUUUCCGAGAAUGAUCUCGCUUAGGUUGUCAUUACUCGAAGUUUAUUAAGGCUUUGUGACUGACGUGCUACAACACCUUCUCGCUUGACUGGUUUUUCUGAAGAAACAUUUGGCCAGGUUGCCCCCACUGUAAACCUCAAAGUUCAAUCUAUUGGGACGCCAAAAUUUGUACCAUCAUUCUCCCACUGCAAUUCAAGGGUAGAAAUAUGUGACUUUUCCUCAAUCUUCUCCUAUCACAAUUCAAGGAUAUAGGACGCGAAUCGUUCUAGUUCCUCACACCAUUCCCAAUGUGUCAUACUCAUGUGCAAAUGAAGGAUCUCUUCUCCGAGGUAACCUCUUACUAUUGCCUGAUAAUCAUUGCUUGCUUGUUUAUUUAAGCUUUGCCACCAACAUGGCGCCUUGUCAAUCAACGCAUUUGAAAACAAAAAUCCAAAGAAAAAGUCUAAAUUUAGACUAUUCCUUCUCAAAUUUCCAACCUUUAAAAUUGGUGUGUUCUAAACAAUAGUCCUACUUUAGGCUCCUAUAUUAUUUAGAAACUUUUCAGAGUAAUAAGCAAAAUUUCCUUUGUAAAAGUUCUAUUAGUCCAUUAAUCAUUAUUCCAAUGCAACAUGCUCGUAAGAAGGGUCAUAACAAUGGAUAAGAAUAAAGUUGGUUCUGAGCAUAGCUCGAAAGAACAAGUUAUCCAAAAAUAGUAAAGAAGGAUGACAAAGAAAUUGGUUGGGAAUGUAUAUCUUGGAAAAGAAUAAAAGGUAUUCCGAGAACGACAAAUAAUAUGAGAAUUGGGUGCCUUAGAUAUCGCAGCUUGAACUUUUCUGUACAAACUUUCUGAAGACCAUUUUGAGUUUAACAUGUGUUUAGGAGAUUUACAGUGCUUUGUCGACGCCCCAAGAUGUCGCUUAUCCCUUCAUGUUGAUUCAGGUAUAGCAAGAUCACCACAUGCCCCAAUUUGAUCAAAAUUUGAAUUGCUCUGAUCACCUCAUGCCCCAUUCUGAUCAAUAUUUGAGCAGCCCUUUUUGGGUUUUCAACUCAAAUCCCCUUUGGCCUAAGACGCCCUUUCCGGGUUUUCCCCUUAGCCUCUCCAUUUUUUAAUUUUCUUUUUCUUUUUUCAAUUUUCAUUCUCAUUUUUCAUUUUUUCAGAGUGCCCUUUGCGGGUCUUCACCUUGGUCCUUUCUUCUUCUUUAAAUGAAGUAUUUCUUGACUGGAUCCGAGUUUAUAGGACUAGCGAUCUCACUAAGGAUCAGUGCUCUUCUGAAAAAUGUCUUGUUUACAACGUAGGGACAUUCUCGAUUUGGCAUUCAUUUCCCUCUGGAAUCCUUUUGGAGAGGAAUGAUCUUUUUCGACAUCCAACCCUCUCGUGAAAUUCUUUGAGAUGACACUGUUCAUUACGGGCUCGUAUCAUUUGUUUCUGGUACAUCCGACCCUGAAGAAUAGCUUUUAACCUUUUUCUAGGUUCAACUGAUUGCAUCACGAUUGGAUCCAUUUUGCUUCAUCCAAUUCUAACUCAACUAAUACCCGGAGAGCAAAGAUUUCAAUAGGUAAAACUACCUAAACCCCGUAAACCAAAGAGAAAGGUAUUGCCCCGGUACAAAUGUUCGACAAGCAAUGAAGGUAAAUAGUAAUUUCUCAUGUCAAUCCUUGUAAGUCUCAGUCAUUUUCCUUCAAUUUUCGACGUUCAACUCUAGGCAAUUCAGUGACGAAUCGUGGUGUCCACUUUUGAGUUAAUUUGAGACCUCAGCGAUCGUGCCAUUGUUUAAGCUCAAUGCAUUCUCCAAUACCCUCUUCUCUGAAAUUUUGUAUCAGUAUACGAUGACUUUGGCUCAUGAAGUAGCUUCUCAAAAUAGAGCAAUGCCCAUUAGAAGUCUUCGAUAAUGGUGAAGUCCAUGCCUCAUUGUGCUCGAAAUUUGAGUCGCCCCUUUUCGGGUUGUCAACUCAAAACCUCAUUUGGUCACAAAGCGCCCUUUGCGAGUUUUCGCUUUGGCCUCUCCUUUUAUUUUUCUUUUUCUUUUUCAUUCUGAUUUUUUCAUCUAGAUUUCUCUUUUUUCAUUCUUCUUUCUUUUUUCAGUUUCAUUUUCAUUUUGAUCUUGAUUUUGAUUUUUUUCUUCUUUCUUCUUUUUUUUAUUUUGAUUUUUUAUUUUUUUUCUUUUCAUUUUCAUUUUGACUUUGAUUUUGAUUUUUCUUUUUCUUCACUUUUUUGAUCUGAGCCUUUAGGGGUGCAACUACGACAGAAAACUUUGGAUCUUCCUCUUUAAUCAGGAUGGACCCAACAACAACUUGAAGAGGUAAAAAUUCGACUUCAAAUGGACAAAGCUAUGCUGACUCCACGAGAAAGGCAUUGCUCCGGCAAAGAAUUACAUCGUUCAUACUGUAAAUUUCUAACAUUGUGCUAUUGUGCAGAUUUCAUUAUUGGCGUUUAACCCGGGGCAUAUCCUGGUAUGAUUAUACGAAGACAUCUUUGAACCCUGAGGUCACUUAAUAAGGUGUUGCUUCGUCUCUGCGGUCAGGUCAAUUCUAAACUUUACCACGCUCACAAUUUCUAAUGAUUCUUUGUGAGGUAGGAUCUGUCUGUCCUCUUAUUCAACCGUCCUUAACGAGUCAGGAGAUAAACUACAAUCUUUGUCAUUUUCAAAGCCCUGAGAUCCCUCUGAACACAUGCCUCGCUCAAAAGGAAAAUCUGGGUCUGUAGCAGAGUCAUUCACGUCAUUGAUUUCCAGAGACUCAUAAUAAGUACCAAAGAAUAUACAAAAGAAAGUAUAAAUUUAUGAAUAAUUAUUUAUACAAUAUGAUUGUGAAUGAAUGAUGUGGAAGAAAAUCUAAAAGAAUGAAAUAAUCAGAAAUAAUUAUUCAAAAAGAAUGAAAGAAUAUUUGCUCAAAAAGGAAUGCAAAGAUGUAUUUUAUUAGAAUGAGCCUAUUUCACAAAAGAGUUCUUAUUGCCUCUAGGCUAAAAGCAACAAGUGUGUUCUGGAUAUUACUCUGAGUAAGCUCUAAAUACUACAGGGGUCUCUUCUGCAGUCUAAUUAUUCAGAACACUCUCAAGUUUAGAAGGGCGAACGUCUAAUAAAAUCUCUUCUCCAGUUGUUUCUUCAGAUUUGACACUGAUGUGAACAUUUCCCAACAUUUCUUCAUUCAUCGCAUUCCCUUCAUUAUCCGUAUAAUUGAGCAGCGGGUUUUCUGUAUUGAUUGAAUCAUCAAAUUUGACAAUGCCCAUAUUGAUAAACCUUUCGACCAACUUUUUAAAGGCAGUGCAGUUCUCUAUUGAAUGCCCCGUAAUUCCCGCAUGGUAGUCGCAUUGUGCAUUCAUAUCGUACCAUUUGGGAUAAGGAGGUUGUAAAGGGGUCAAGUAACGAGGAGCAACAACAUGCACAUCGAACAAGCUUUGAUACAGCUCAUUAUAUGACAUCGGAAUUUGUGUGAACUGGAGCUUCUCAGUACCUGGUUUCAUUCCAGGUUCUUGCUUUAAAGGGCUCUGAUGGCUGGUGGUCUCUGUCUUUGGCCUACCCACGGUGAUUGGUUUUGAGUGGCCCUUGUUAUAUCCGCCUACAUUAUCCCUUUUAUUCCCCUUCUUCCUUGGGAACUUUGUAGUAUCUGGGUACUCUACCCUUAUCUGUUUUAUUUCAGCUAGAUUAGUAACAGGAUUAGCUAAAUCGUUCCUCAAAUUGGGUCCUAAACCUGUCAGGCAAUUCACUGGUGUCGAUGUACCAGUCUGAUAAUAUCGGGAUUCGAUAGUAAAAAGUGCUCUUUGUGGGCGCCCAUCUGGCUGGACCUGGACACUUGUUGGAGUACAAUCUGAGGAAUAGACAAGAUCCUCAUUAUCAACCCCAAAGUAAACCACCGGGUCUUUCACUUCUUUUGACUUUCCAGCUAGUAAUCGGUUGAACUGGUUUAUCAUAGUUCUCCGUAAUUCUAGCAUCUGAUCUUUCAUCUCCUGUUGAAAUUCAGUCAAUUGCCCCUGCAUCUGAAUCUGCAUUCGCUCUAAUUUUUCCAACCUUCGUUCCGUUUCUCUAGCCUUUGCUUGGAUAUCGUAAGAGUGUUUAGUUGGUUGGUUUUCCAGGUUAGCUGAAAUAAAUUUACUCGUUCAGAGUCUUUCAAUGGAUUUUAAUGUAUGUAAUGCAAUGUGAUGCAAAUGCAUGAAUGCCUAAAGAGACGUUGAUUCUGAUUCAAUUACAUUUAGGAAACUUUUCUAGAAAGCAAAUUCCCUUACAUACAAUGGAUACAUGUACGACCUCAUCUUCAUAUUCUAAGAAACAACAUCGGUCUUUUUCUUCAUCCGCAUGUUUGAAGUAAUCUUGCCAAUAGAUACCAUUGCUAGCUCCUUCUUUUGAUCUUGGUCACGAUCCAUCAUCUGCCCCUCUUCAUAAGGCUCGUCAGCUUCUUGGAACAUCGAAGGCUCUUAGACAAUCUCCUUGAAUCCUCAGGCCACGAAGCAGGAUCAUGAACUCUUCCAUCACCCUUUUUGCGUUCCUCAAAAUAUAUUCGAGAAGUCGUAUUAUUUUCCACUUUAUCAAGGAAUUCAUAUUCUAUGACAAGCUUUCUAAUUUAGUAAUCGAACUUGAAUCCAUAUCUCUUUCCUAAGAUGCAAAUGGAAUGCAAUGCAAUCAUAAUCAAAACACAACAAGAGGGGUUAGUGCAAAACAUAAGCAAGCACAGAAAGCAAAAAAUACCUAAUCAGGUAGAUACUAGGGGUUUGGAGUGGCUCUACCUAGGUUAAGUUCCUAAGUCUUCUAUAUGAGGGUUGGUUCUAAAGUCAAGGUACCCGAACCAGCAGAUUCCUCGAUCCUCACCCAUUAUAGGCUCAUACGGACCGAGUUCGGUUCAGGGGAAUAGAUUUCCCUAUGGCUGCACGGAGAUGAAAAUCUCACGAAGACAUAGGUACGGAUGUAUCCCGAAAGCGAUCUAUUAUCCUGCACGAAGGUGAAAACCUCACGAAGGACUAGUUUCUCACUCCCACUUAAAAGGGAAUAAUCGAGCGAUUAUGUAAUGCAAUAUGCAGAAAUAUAUCAAAAUUCAAACCAAUAGAGAAAAUACAAACUGAAGUAAGGAUAAUCGUAACAAAAACGGACAAACAUACAACAAAAUGAUCGUAGAUUUGAACCAAGCUUUCGGGUGACCUCUAGGCAUUCGGUGUGGUUCUACCUAGGGUAGGCUCUUAAGGCUCAUUAUAUGCGGCUCGGUUCUAAAGUAAGGGUACCCGAACCAACAGAUUCCUCGAUCCUCACCCAUUAUAGGCUCAUACGGACUGAGUUCGGUUCAGGGAAAUACAUUUCCCUAUGGCCAUGCGGAGAUGAAAAUCUCACGAAGACAUAGGUACGGAUGUAUCCCGAAAGCGAUUCACUAUCCCAUGCGGAGGUGAAAACCUCACGAAGGCGUAGUUUCUCACUCCCACUUAAAAGGGUGUGACCAACGGUCAUGCAAUGCAAUGUGCAGAAAUAUAUAUCUAACUCAAAAUAAGGCAGUAAUUAUAAAAAAUAAUAAGGGCCAAAAUAAAGACAAAUGAAAUGACAUAAAAGGAUCGUGUCAAGUUUUCAAUCUUCGACAAAAGACAAAAAUAAUCAACACAUGGCUUGACUCACUUAUUGAAGUCCCCAGCGGAGUCGCCAAGCUGUUGACACCAUUUUUUGGAUGAAAACGGGGUCGACUUGGGUUUUGAAAAUGAAAACGAAAAAAGGGAGUCGCCACCAAUCCUUUUUGAUAAGGUGUGAUCGGGUCACCUUGAAAAGUAGUUGUUUUUAAUAAAUGAUUUGAUUUUAUUAAAACAACGGUUUUGGUCCACGAAAUUCAGAAAAACAAGUUCGGGAGUCUGUUACGUACGAGGAAGGAUUAGCACCCUCGAUACGCCCAAAAUUGGUACCUAGUUGAUUAGUUAAUGUCUUAAUGUCGAAAAUUAAGAACUUGGAAAAAUUUAAAAUACGAUCCUUAUAUUAAAAAGAAAAUUUUUGGGAAAAGUAGCAUAUUUCACGUUAUUGGAGAAAGAGAAUAAUAUUCAGUAAGUUAGAAUACAAUAUCUCGUAUUCCCGAUACCCGAAUGAAAAAAUGCUUAUUUAAAAGAUAUUUAACUAUCUUGGAUUAAAAAGGAUCACGACCAGUAAAUUAGGACACGAUCCUUUAUAAAUCCCGAGAUCAUUUAAAACUUGAGUUUUGAAAAGAUUCAUGCAUUUAGAUUUAUCAAGAAAAUCGAAACCCAGUAAGUUAGGGCACGCUUUUCUCGAAUCCAAACACGAAAUGCCAUUUAAAAAUUUAUUAUAUCGAGUAAAAUAAAACACAAAAUCAUAGUGAAAGUAAAUUACAUUUUUAUGCAUGGCAAAACUAUAAUGAAUAUGAAAGUAUAAAAGCGAUACGCGCAAUAGCAAUCAAUAUAAACGGUUAAACUUACAAAAUAAUAAAAUAUAAAAAAACGAAUACAAUUUAAACAUUCAUUCAAAAUAAUAACGAAAAUGAAAUAAAUAAAUAAUCAAUACACUUAAAUAUAAAAAGAUAUACAUGGACAUAAACUAAAAUUUGUGUAUACAUAAAUUAGCAAAAUGUAUAAAGUAUAUUUUAAUAUAUAAAAGAAACAAUAAAUAUGUAUAUAUAAAAAAUAUGUACAUAUAUAUAGGUGUAUAAAACUAUGGAAUAUGAAAAUAAUGAAAUACAUAUAAAAGUAAGUACAUAUAUAUGUUGAAAAAUAAAAGAAAGUAUGUAUGUACAAAUUAAAGUUUAAAAAUAAUGAAAAUAUACAUAUGUAUACAAAUAAAUACGUUAAUUUAUAUACAUGUUAGAAAAUAUAUUGAAAAUGUAUAUAUAUAUUUAUGUAAAUUAAGAUAUGCAAAAAUAUGUAUGUACGUGCAUAUAAAAAUAUAUAUACUUAUAAAAAUAAAAGGAUAUGUAUGUAUAUAAAUUAAUAAUAAUAUGUAUGUAUAUACGGAUUUAUAAAAAAGGGUAUGUCCUAAACUAUAAAGAUUAUAUAUAAAUAUGUAUAUAUUUAGGAAAAUGAAAAUAUGCAUAUAGAUAUAUAGAUAUGUGCAUAAGUUGUAAAAUAUAUAAACUAUAUAAGUAUAUAUAUAUAUAUAUAUAUGUUAUAAACAAUGCAUGUAUAUCACAAAAAUAUAUGUAUGUACAUAUAUGUACCGAAAAUUUAAAUAAAAUAAAUACAAACAAAUAGGCAAUAAUAAUAAUAACAAUAAUAAUAAUAAUAAUAAUAAUAGGACUAAAUCAAAACGGAAACGAAAUCUCAGGGCUGAAAUCAAAAAUGAAAUAGAGUAAAGGAUUAAAAUGUGAGGCGCGCGAAAAGGGAAGGACUGAAAAGGGAAAUAUUCCCUAGUCCUAGAGUGCAACGUUUCAACGCGAAGGACCAUACAUGGUCAAAGGACCUGAUUGCAACGGAAUCAAAAUUUGCAGCCCAAAUCUAAAAGAAAUAAAGGGUCGUAUUGCAUCUCAACGCAAGAUGGAGGGAUUAAAUGCGUAAAUUACCCAUUAGGGCAAAGCAUGCGCAGAUCCCCCAUCAGACGGCGCCGUUUCAAUCAACAUAAAGCUAAGAAAUUUACUGCUUUCUGCAGUUUCAUUUUGCUGCAAAGAACACAAAUAAAAAAAAUAAAAAAAAGGGAGAAUCCCUUUUCUGCUGGGGUUCUAAGGCUAGAAGCCCCGCCGCCGUAGCGCCUCCCCACCGCCCGGUGGUCGGAGCCCUGCGAGGGCGUCUCCCACCAGCGCUUUGGAGCGCGUUCAGAGACCAAGGCUCCGAAACGGGGAAAUGGAAAGCCUCUGCCCCUUCCUAAACUCGCGUCCGACGACGGCGAAGGGCCAGCGGCGAUGACGGCUUCAGGGGCCGAUUCAGGUGAGUCUUUUCUUUUCUCUUUUUUGAUUUUUUUAAUUACUUUAAAAUAGAUUUGCGAAGAAAAAAAAUAAAACAAAAUAAGAUAAAAUAAAUAAAUAAAAAACAAGAAGAAAUAGUAAGGAUUCAACCUUUUAAAAUUUCUAUAUCGCUUUUGAUUUCUGAUGUGGGUUUUUACAAAGAAAAAUCCCCCAAAAUACAGUGAUGAAGCCCCCCCUUUUACAUUGUUUUUCAAGGCUUAUAAAGCCGAAAAUCAACCCAUUCUCUGCCCCUUUUGCUGCUUCUAUUCCCCUUUUUUAUGUUGCUUGCAGGUACUUGACGAAGGCAGAGGCGUGGCUUGCUGUUUUGGUGCUAGGCGGUGGCUAGGGUGUCAGGUAAGCCUCGGGACGAGGCACGGAUGGUACGCCCGAGGGAGUAGCGCACAUGGGCAGUAGGGCUACGGCGCGAAAGGGCAGGGAACCCUAGGGUUCCCUGUGCUGUUUAGUUUUUUGGGCCCCAAUGGGCCGUUUUAAAUUUUGGGCCUUGGGCUAUUGGGUAUUUGUUUUUGUAAUUGGGCCUCGGGUUAAUAUUUUUGGCACUAGGCCCGGGUAAAAUUGGGUCUGUACAA
RNAcentral lists this long non-coding RNA (11013 nucleotides) under Gossypium raimondii (Peruvian cotton). RNAcentral describes it as "long non-coding RNA (GRAI_LNC010932)". Lineage: Eukaryota; Viridiplantae; Streptophyta; Magnoliopsida; Malvales; Malvaceae. The record is from RNAcentral.